GAACAACUGAGAGGUGCUUUGUGGGACCAAGAGCAAGUUUUCUUGUUGUCCGUGCCUUGAUGGAACUUCUCCAAGCUCCAGGCUGUGGAACCAGGGUCUGCUCACACACGCAUAAUGUAUUUAACAAAUGCUUGCUGAAGUCUUGGCCUGGAGAAGCUUACACUGCAGCGAGGAUGAAAGUGUACCUGCUACACAAUGAGCUUUCAGAAACAGAGACCUUGAAGAAUCAAGCCCCAAUGGGAAGAGGCCAAGAGCCACAGGAUUGCCUUAGGACUCCUUACCUAGUUCCCAUCAGAUUCUGACUUCUCUGAGACCCUAGGCUGGGGUUGUAGACCUCAUGACUGAGCUGGGCUUCUUGGCAGAAUGGCAGUGUCAGUAGCUCAUCCUGAGAACCGGGUCACAGGCAAUGCCAUCCACAGGCCCAACACCUGUUAGCUACAGAGUGGGCAGCACAUCUCGGUGGAC
Molecule: long non-coding RNA, 465 nt
Organism: Ochotona princeps (American pika)
Lineage: Eukaryota; Metazoa; Chordata; Mammalia; Lagomorpha; Ochotonidae
Exons: 3
Source: RefSeq, a predicted model, not a curated record